GGGGUCGACAUGGUUUCGACGGGGGUGUACGAAGCGACUGAUUGCAGGCCGGGGACGCCGUGGCACCUCGUUAAAAAGUGACGGCACAACCAAACGCCAACGACAACGCUUUCGAGCAGCCGAUGGCUCAGGCCGCCUAGCGCGGCCCGUCUUACCAGCUCUCCCGUCCGUGACGGCUGGCUAGGGCGACACAGAACGGGCUAGGCAUCCGCCAUCCUCCCCCGGGUGGACAGCCGAAGAUGCAGGGGGAACCCGAACCGAGGCAGCUCGCUGGUGGGCGUCCUCGGGGGUUCAAAGCGCCAGCUAAGCCUGUAGAAGUCAGCGCGGAGCACUUCCGGACCCGGGUUCGAUUCCCGGCGACUCCACUA
Molecule: transfer-messenger RNA, 368 nt
Filed under: Thermoplasmata archaeon
Lineage: Archaea; Methanobacteriati; Thermoplasmatota; Thermoplasmata
Also listed under: 1 other name
Rfam family: transfer-messenger RNA
About the family: Bacterial tmRNA, also known as 10Sa RNA or SsrA, is named for its dual tRNA and mRNA-like properties. Its role is to liberate the mRNA from a stalled ribosome. To accomplish this part of the tmRNA is used as a reading frame that ends in a translation stop signal.
Source: RNAcentral